AGAUUGAACGCUGGCGGCAUGCCUUACACAUGCAAGUCGAACGGCAGCACGGGAGCAAUCCUGGUGGCGAGUGGCGAACGGGUGAGUAAUAUAUCGGAACGUGCCCAGUCGUGGGGGAUAACGCAGCGAAAGCUGUGCUAAUACCGCAUACGAUCUAUGGAUGAAAGCGGGGGAUCGCAAGACCUCGCGCGAUUGGAGCGGCCGAUAUCAGAUUAGCUAGUUGUGGGGUAAAAGCCUACCAAGGCGACGAUCUGUAGCUGGUCUGAGAGGACGACCAGCCACACUGGAACUGAGACACGGUCCAGACUCCUACGGACGGCAGCGAGUCGGGGAAUUUUUGGGAACAAUGGGACGCUAAGCCUAGAUCCAGCAAUGCCGCGUUGCGAGAGUAGAAG
This 395-nucleotide ribosomal RNA is filed under the name uncultured soil bacterium. RNAcentral describes it as "bacterial SSU rRNA". It matches the Rfam family "Bacterial small subunit ribosomal RNA", at positions 26 to 416 of the family's 1533-position model. The record is from RNAcentral.